GCUAGACCAGCGUCCUCUUCCAGAUGAUCUGAAUUUGAAACUUCUUUAUGACUAAACAGCUGUGUGAUGCAUUGGAAAAAUCCAGAGUAUUUCACACCUUCUAGCCUGAGAAUUCAUGGAGACCAUCUGCUCCACUCUGAUCUGCGAGGAUCCUCCCAGAGCUCUGCACUCUGUGCUCCCACAUCCCACACGGCUUUCAGGCCCCACUGCUUUUAUCUGGGGGCAGGCAAAGAGGAUGACUGUCUUCCUCCUGGUGGUGAGGACACUAACCAAAAUGAGUCCUGUCAUUUGAACAAGCUGUGUACUGAGCCACGUGGGGAUGCCACAGUUUGGCUCAGAAACUGGAGGGAGAAAACAUCUGGUGUCCAUCUUCCACCAGUCAAAGAUGUGAUACAGGCAAAAUCAGGUUGCCUCUUUUCUGAAAGAAUAAAGAAAUGUAAAUGUGUCGUUCUGAUGCCACCGUCUCCAUUUGCUGAGUAUCUACCGGAAGAAGAGUUCCUUUUCAAGUCAGACAAGAGCAUUGCCAGGUUUUGUUUGCAAGAAGGUUCCUGCUCUGCUGCAUAGAAGAGGCGGGGGACUGUUGUGUCUCCUUGGCCUUUCCCUUCUCAUCCCCCUCUCACCUCCCCUGCUUGGGCCCCUGUCACCACACACCUGGACAUCAUCACAGAGCCUCUCAGCCACAAGGUUCCUGAGGCAACACUACAUAACUGCAGAAAGCUCAGGUUCGAAUGUGAUGUCAAAAUGUCCAAACAUUUGUCAUCAAAAUUGUCAGCGUGUUGCAACAGACAGGCUCAACCCCUCGUCAAACUGUUCCUCCCUCCAGGUUGACUCAAGGUAGAAUUUAUCUCACUUUUUCAAACAGGAAAUCUUUUCUUCUCUCUUGAAAUGGUAGGCUUGUUACAUUUGCUAGAUAGUCCAUCAAAACAUUAAGCUUUUUCUGAAAAAUGACAGGCUUGGGGCUCUGUCCAAUGUUAACUUUGCAAUAUUGACCACUGAUUGAUGGGUUUUGGCCUUGUGGGGAAAUUGACCUUUCCUUGAGCUUUAAUUACAUUGAUCAGAAUCAGUGACGUGCUGGAAAUGGUUUAUACUGGCUCAUGAGAGCUGAUCCUUAAAAUUUCAAGAUUUUGGUAAACUGUUAAAAUAUCCUUUACUAAAGAUUAAAUUAUACGAGUUUACAAAUAAAUUAUCUUAAAACAGAUGUAGCAAAUACUCAAACUAUGUCACUUUCUAUUUUACUAAUACCUUACUUAUAUUUCAUACUUAUUUCUUGAGAUUAUUUAGGUCUCUUGUAUCUGUAUUAUGGAAAUAUAAAGUGAUGUACUGUGUUUCUCUUCCCAACGCCACAUAUAGUAACAUCACAUUGGUGGCUUGAAAUUAGCUAUGGAGGGAGUAUUGGCCUCAUAAUAAUUGGCAAAUAGGAAACACUACAAAUCCAGACUUUAUUUCAAAGAGCCAUUUUGUAUGCAUUUACCAGCACACCACGGGCCAGAACUACCUGCCGACAAAGCAACAUGAGCACAUGGCGAUCACUGAGUCAAGAGUGACCAGAAUGACCUGAAAGGACAAGUAUUAACUAGUGCAAAACAAGGGUGCAUUGGGGCCUCCUCCCUUCUUUUAAUAUAGAUCUUAGUUGAUACCACUUUGAGACAAUGUUGACACACCCCUACCAUAAUUAGCAGCCAGGG
RNAcentral lists this long non-coding RNA (1685 nucleotides) under Heterocephalus glaber (naked mole-rat). Its description in RNAcentral is "lncRNA (ENSHGLG00000047570.1)". The record is from RNAcentral. Lineage: Eukaryota; Metazoa; Chordata; Mammalia; Rodentia; Bathyergidae.